Molecule: long non-coding RNA, 720 nt
Filed under: Ananas comosus (pineapple)
Lineage: Eukaryota; Viridiplantae; Streptophyta; Magnoliopsida; Poales; Bromeliaceae
Description: long non-coding RNA (ACOM_LNC004907)
Source: RNAcentral
CACAAGCGAGCCGGGCCGGGCUCGUGUUUGGCUCUUUUUAUAAACCAGCCUAACACGAGCUCACUUUUUUAAAUAUCAAACCGGAAAAUUCAAAUCGGGUUAGCUUACUCAUGGAGAAUAAGUUAAAAAAAUUAGAAAAAAAUAUAUAUGGGAAAUAAAUUUAUGACGUUUUAUCUGUUAGUUUUUGAUAUGAUCUUCGACCCAUUUAUAUAUACAAGGGUCGUUUUAUAAUUGAAUUGUACUUUAUAUUUAUAAUAUUGAACUAAAAUCAAAUAAUUAAAUCGGUAUAAUUUAUAUAAUUAUUUAUUUAUAUAUCUAUAUACUAUAUAUAAAAUCACGUAUUUUAAAUUUCGGUCGGUAGAUAGACCCAUACUUUGGCGGAAAAAAAAUUAAUUCCUCUUUUCUUACACAAAAUAAAUAAUUUUCUCUUUAUCUCUAAAAUAAAAAAAUAUACUUAUCUAAAUUUUUACCAACCGAAAAAAAUCUACUGUGAAUUUAUAUUUUAAUUCAAAAUUUAUUUAAUUUUUUUUUAUCUCUAAAAUAGAAACAANUUAUCAAAAUUUAUGAAAUUUAGUUUCUAGAUAUUUCAAAUACUCUAGAUCAACUUCAACGAUUCCGAUCAUUGAUUCGGAAUCUCGAUCAUACAGAACAACUUGAUAGGACAAGUGCUCCUAUCCUAUUAAUAGGAUAGUAGCAUUAGCCUAUAUAUAUAUAUAUAUA